Molecule: ribosomal RNA, 500 nt
Filed under: uncultured bacterium
Lineage: Bacteria
Description: partial 16S ribosomal RNA
Rfam family: Bacterial small subunit ribosomal RNA
Source: RNAcentral
GUUGAACGCUGGCGGAAUGCUUUACACAUGCAAGUCGAACGGCAGCACGGACUUCGGUCUGGUGGCGAGUGGCGAACGGGUGAGUAAUGUAUCGGAACGUGCCCAGUCGUGGGGGAUAACGUAGUGAAAAUUACGCUAAUACCGCAUACGAUCUAUGGAUGAAAGCGGGGGAUCGCAAGACCUCGCGCGAUUGGAGCGGCCGAUAUCAGAUUAGGUAGUUGGUGGGGUAAAGGCCCACCAAGCCAACGAUCUGUAGCUGGUCUGAGAGGACGACCAGCCACACUGGAACUGAGACACGGUCCAGACUCCUACGGGAGGCAGCAGUGGGGAAUUUUGGACAAUGGGCGAAAGCCUGAUCCAGCCACUCCGCGUGCAGGAUGAAGGCCCUCGGGUUGUAAACUGCUUUUGUACAGAACGAAAAGGUUUCUACUAAUACUAGGAGCUCAUGACGGUACUGUAAGAAUAAGCAUCGGCUAACUACGUGCCAGCCGCCGCCGUAA